CGGUCCUCCCGCAACAAUAAACUAUGAACUCCGCCAGGCCUGGAAGGGAGCAACGGUAGUAGUGGAUUUGUGUGCCGGGGUGUGGCUG
RNAcentral lists this signal recognition particle RNA (88 nucleotides) under uncultured Bermanella sp. Its description in RNAcentral is "Bacterial small signal recognition particle RNA". It matches the Rfam family "Bacterial small signal recognition particle RNA". From Rfam's summary of the family: The signal recognition particle (SRP) is a universally conserved ribonucleoprotein involved in the co-translational targeting of proteins to membranes. Archaeal SRP consists of a 7S RNA and homologues of the eukaryotic SRP19 and SRP54 proteins. Lineage: Bacteria; Pseudomonadati; Pseudomonadota; Gammaproteobacteria; Oceanospirillales; Oceanospirillaceae. The record is from RNAcentral.